AACGCAAAUUGCACUUCCUGGUAUUCCGGGGAGUAUGCCUGUUUGAGGGUCGUUUUAAAUUAAAUCGAUGUGUUGUUUUUUCGUGAUGACGCGUCGGGGUUGGGUUAUCUUGGCCCUUGGGGUUUAAGAGACCUAAAAUUGACUUUUUUGGAGCAUUCCAGACGUGUAAAUUUUUUUAUCUGUCUCGUCAUGCUCAAGUGUUCAUUAGGUGCGGUCAUGUUUGAUGUGAUCUCGCGCCUAUGAUUCUCGUUUUUCGACCUCAAGUCAGGUAGGGACACCCGCUGAACUUAA
RNAcentral lists this unclassified non-coding RNA (291 nucleotides) under uncultured fungus. RNAcentral's name for it is "partial contains 5.8S ribosomal RNA, internal transcribed spacer 2, and large subunit ribosomal RNA". The record is from RNAcentral. Lineage: Eukaryota; Fungi.